Molecule: long non-coding RNA, 979 nt
Organism: Numida meleagris (helmeted guineafowl)
Lineage: Eukaryota; Metazoa; Chordata; Aves; Galliformes; Numididae
Exons: 3
Source: RefSeq, a predicted model, not a curated record
GAAAGGACACGCGCUGAAAAGAGAAGGAAAACAAAUACCAGGAAGGCGCUCAGUGCCGCUCCAGCAGACCUCGCAGCUGCUUCAGAACGGGCAUCCAGACUUUUCAAGGUCUCUGUGGGCAAUAACACGGCCCUUGUGCCACGGCCAGCAGGCAGGGAGCAGAGGUCACCGGGGCAGGGAAGGCAUUGCAAGAGAUGGAAAUGGGAGCUGAAGCAAACACAAGUGGUCUCAGCCACACCAAGCGUUGCAGCAGGAUGAACAAUUGAUUCCUUGCUGUCUUGGCCCAAGAACAGCUGCUAAUACCGAUGGAAAGAGACAGCGCUGUGCACGGCAACGUGCACUCAUGCAGCCCUUCCCAGAAUGGCUGAAACCCCUGAAGAAGGCCCUGGAGAUGCCCUGUCCCACCCCCAGCUCCAGUGGGGCCAUCUAGGGCUGGGUGCUCAGUGCUUGGUCCAGGCCUUGGAAAGACCCAAACGAGGUUAUGUUGUACUCUAACGAACUGCUCAGGGGAGGAGAGGUCCCUUUGGUCUACAUGAACAUCAACAGAAGUCUCAUCUGGGUUUGCUUGCUUCCUACACCUACUUAAGGGCAAUUGCCUUUUGCUGUUGUCAUCUGCUGUGUAACUUUAAUUGCACUCAGAAGGGCACUUUGGAAAACAGACCCAACCAAGUUUAGAGAAUUCAAUUCUCUUUGUGCUCCUUUAAGGUGGAUUAAAUGAGACUAAUGUGGUUUAAAAGUUCUUAAGCCACACAAUUAAAGCCAUUACAACUCGGUAGUUCUGCAAUACUGACUUCACAACUGAAGUACAAUUGGUUUUCUCAGGACUAAUGGAAAUUCCUGCAUUUCUAACGGGAGACAUUUAGCAAAGACAUAUGUUUUUUAGAUAUUCUCUCUCAUUUGUAAAUACUCUACAGUACUUAUGCCAUGGGUGUAAGGCAGCUUUCACCCCAGCACAGCUGGUUUUCCUGGUCCUUGUCCA